GAUGAACGCUGGCGGCGUGCCUAAUACAUGCAAGUCGAGCGAACGGACGAGAAGCUUGCUUCUCUGACGUUAGCGGCGGACGGGUGAGUAACACGUGGAUAACCUACCUAUAAGACUGGGAUAACUUCGGGAAACCGGAGCUAAUACCGGAUAAUAUUUUGAACCGCAUGGUUCAAAAGUGAAAGACGGUUUUGCUGUCACUUAUAGAUGGAUCCGCGCUGCAUUAGCUAGUUGGUAAGGUAACGGCUUACCAAGGCGACGAUGCGUAGCCGACCUGAGAGGGUGAUCGGCCACACUGGAACUGAGACACGGUCCAGACUCCUACGGGAGGCAGCAGUAGGGAAUCUUCCGCAAUGGGCGAAAGCCUGACGGAGCAACGCCGCGUGAGUGAUGAAGGUCUUCGGAUCGUAAAACUCUGUUAUUAGGGAAGAACAUAUGUGUAAGUAACUGUGCACAUCUUGACGGUACCUAAUCAGAAAGCCACGGCUAACUACGUG
Molecule: ribosomal RNA, 497 nt
Filed under: uncultured bacterium
Lineage: Bacteria
Description: partial 16S ribosomal RNA
Rfam family: Bacterial small subunit ribosomal RNA
Source: RNAcentral